RNAcentral lists this ribosomal RNA (430 nucleotides) under uncultured bacterium. Its description in RNAcentral is "bacterial SSU rRNA". It matches the Rfam family "Bacterial small subunit ribosomal RNA", at positions 124 to 588 of the family's 1533-position model. The record is from RNAcentral.
ACAUGCCUUAUUCCGGGAAAUACCCAGCCGAAAGGUUGGCUAAUGUCCCAUGGUCUCGCAAGAGUAAAGCUCCGGCGGAAUAAGAUUGGCCUUGUCCCUAUCAGCUAGUUGGUGAGGUAAAGGCCCACCAAGGCUUCGACGGGUAGCUGGUCUGAGAGGAUGAUCAGCCACAAUGGGACUGAGACACGGCCCAUACACCUACGGGUGGCAGCAGUUGGGAAUAUUGCGCAAUGGACGACAGUCUGACGCAGCGACGCCGCGUGAAGGAUGAAGGUUUUCGGAUCGUAAACUUCUUUUAUAGGGGAAGAUUGUGACUGUACCCUAUGAAUAAGGGCCUGCUAACUACGUGCCAGCAGCAGCGGUAAUACGUAGGGCCCGAGCGUUGUCCGGAUUUAUUGGGCGUAAAGAGUAUGUAGGUGGUCAUUUAAGU